AUUCAGCUGACAAGUUUCAAAUAGGACGAAGUGCACGUCCUGGAU
RNAcentral lists this non-coding RNA (45 nucleotides) under Schistosoma curassoni. Lineage: Eukaryota; Metazoa; Platyhelminthes; Trematoda; Strigeidida; Schistosomatidae. The record is from RNAcentral.